RNAcentral lists this ribosomal RNA (515 nucleotides) under uncultured bacterium. RNAcentral's name for it is "partial 16S ribosomal RNA". It matches the Rfam family "Bacterial small subunit ribosomal RNA", at positions 28 to 523 of the family's 1533-position model. The record is from RNAcentral.
GAUGAACGCUGGCGGCGUGCCUAAUACAUGCAAGUCGAGCGAAUGGAUUAAGAGCUUGCUCUUAUGAAGUUAGCGGCGGACGGGUGAGUAACACGUGGGUAACCUGCCCAUAAGACUGGGAUAACUCCGGGAAACCGGGGCUAAUACCGGAUAACAUUUUGAACCGCAUGGUUCGAAAUUGAAAGGCGGCUUCGGCUGUCACUUAUGGAUGGACCCGCGUCGCAUUAGCUAGUUGGUGAGGUAACGGCUCACCAAGGCAACGAUGCGUAGCCGACCUGAGACGGGGACCGGCCACACUGGGACUGAGACACGGCCCAGACUCCUACGGGAGGCAGCAGUAGGAAAUCUUCCGCAAUGGACGAAAGUCUGACGGAGCAACGCCGCGUGAGUGAUGAAGGCUUUCGGGUCGUAAAACUCUGUUGUUAGGGAAGAACAAGUGCUAGUUGAAUAAGCUGGCACCUUGACGGUACCUAACCAGAAAGCCACGGCUAACUACGUGCCAGCCGCCGCGGUAA